Long non-coding RNA from Apis florea (little honeybee), 190 nucleotides. The record is from RefSeq and is a predicted model, not a curated record. NCBI's taxonomy places the organism in Eukaryota, Metazoa, Arthropoda, Insecta, Hymenoptera, Apidae.
AACCAUAUUAUCCAACCACUGAUGAAAUCAUCAAGUUGAACUUUGACGUCCACACCUUCCAUUACCUUCCAGAUAGGUUAAAGGCUUCGAAAGUUCAGAAAUCGACGUUUAACCUUUCCCUCCCCCUCUCUCGAAUUCUCAAAACCAACCCUCGAUACGAACGUGAACGAGGUUUUACAAGUUUUCGCCG